AUGAAACCAGGGGCCUUGUCAUGAUCAUCAUGUAGAAUCGUACUAGGAAACUAAUUCAAACUCAAUAAACAUUUGUUGAAUAAAUACAAGAAUGAACAGCACACAGCAGCUGCAGGAGGACAGGGAAUGCUUUGGAUUUGAGAGCUGGGCUGAUAACAGACAUUUAUAGACAGUAGCAAUAGGACCCUUUUUGCUGUUUAUCCAUCAACCCUCAAAUCCCAAGUAGAGUACUGGACUUCCCACAGUUAAUGGGGAAGGAGCUCAAGCAGUUCCAUUUGGACAUGAACAGAAAAGGCCCCCAAAAGACCACAUAACUCAGGGGCAAUCAGUUUCCAUCAUUUUUUUAUAGUUAUCUUUCAUAUUAGAUUUUUUCAGGUAAAAUUUACAUAUAGUAAGUGAAAGGCAAAUAUCCUAAGUGUACUUGAUGCGUUUUGACAGUAUUCUCUCAUGUUACCAACAUAUAAACAAAAUAUAGAACAUUUCCAUCACCCAAGUAAGUUCCCUUUGUGCCCCUCUUCCAGUCAAUGCCCAACACCUUUCUCACAGACAACACGUUUUCUUAUGUCAUUCACCAUAGAUUCAUUUAACCUGUCACAAAUGUCAUAUAAAUAAAGUCAAUAGCGCACACUUUUUGUUUGGCUUCUUUUGUGCAACGAAUGUUUUUGAGAUGCUUUCAUGUUGAUAUAUGAAUUCGUGUUUUAUCUGUCUUUAUUGCUGAGAAGUGCAGUUGUUGAUGGAUAUUUGGGUAUUUGCUUUUGUCCAUUAUGAAUAACUUCUGUAAACAUUCUUGUACAAGUCUUUUGUUUAAAUAUAUUUUCACUACUCUUGAGUAAACACAGAUAAAUGGAUUCGUAUUAUACAUAUUUAAAUUCAUAAGAAUCUACCAAAUGGUUUUGCAAAGUGGUUAUAGCAUUUUACGCUUCCAUUGGUCAUAGAUGACGGUUCUAGUUGCUCUGCACCUUUGUCAACAUUUGGGUCUGUCAGUCUUUAUAAUUUUAAGUUUUUUAUACACCUUGACUUUACUGACAAGCCUUUAAAUUUUAGAGAUUCUAGUGUGUAUGAAGUCAUAUCUCAUUGUGGUUUGAAUUUGUAUUUUCCUAAUGUCUAAUGAUGUUUAGCACAUUUUCAUGAGCUUAUUGGCUAUUCCUAUAUCUUCUGUUGAGAAGCUUCAAUUAAAGCCAUUUGCCCAUGUUUGAUAGAA
Molecule: long non-coding RNA, 1201 nt
Organism: Homo sapiens (human)
Lineage: Eukaryota; Metazoa; Chordata; Mammalia; Primates; Hominidae
Source: Ensembl